Molecule: ribosomal RNA, 407 nt
Filed under: uncultured bacterium
Lineage: Bacteria
Description: bacterial SSU rRNA
Rfam family: Bacterial small subunit ribosomal RNA
Source: RNAcentral
UGGGGAAUAUUGGACAAUGGGCGAAAGCCUGAUCCAGUCAUGCCGCGUGAGUGAUGAAGGCCUUCGGGUUGUAAAGCUCUGUCCUAGGGGACGAAACAAAUGACGGUACCCUAGAAGAAAGCACCGGCUAACUCCGUGCCAGCAGCCGCGGUAAUACGGAAGGUCCAAGCGUUAAUCGGAAUUACUGGGCGUAAAGCGCGCGUAGGUGGUUUAUUAAGUUGGAUGUGAAAUCCCCGGGCUCAACCUGGGAACUGCAUCCAAAACUGAUUCACUAGAGUACGAUAGAAGGAGGUAGAAUUCACAGUGUAGCGGUGGAAUGCGUAGAUAUUGUGAAGAAUACCAAUGGCGAAGGCAGCCUCCUGGAUCUGUACUGACACUGAGGAACGAAAGCAUGGGUAGCGAAGAGG